AGGGGCGUAGCUCAGCUCGGCCAGAGCAGCGGAUUCCAAACCCGUGCGCCGCAGGUUCGAAUCCUGCCGCCCCUG
Molecule: transfer RNA, 75 nt
Filed under: Streptomyces mirabilis
Lineage: Bacteria; Bacillati; Actinomycetota; Actinomycetes; Kitasatosporales; Streptomycetaceae
Also listed under: 5 other names
Description: tRNA-Trp
Rfam family: tRNA
About the family: Transfer RNA (tRNA) molecules are approximately 80 nucleotides in length. Their secondary structure includes four short double-helical elements and three loops (D, anti-codon, and T loops).
Source: RNAcentral